Molecule: long non-coding RNA, 534 nt
Organism: Melitaea cinxia (Glanville fritillary)
Lineage: Eukaryota; Metazoa; Arthropoda; Insecta; Lepidoptera; Nymphalidae
Exons: 4
Source: RefSeq, a predicted model, not a curated record
CGCUCCGCGCGCCGGCCGAGCGCACCGCUCGUGGCCGACGGUCUCGCUGCGGCCGCUACUGCCGCCCGACACACUGCCGUCACCGCCGGCACUCCGCCCGACGCCACAGCCUGACUCUCCACUGCCGCUGCAUCCUUCUCAGCUGCCUCCAUGCUGACGGCCAAACGAUACGCUUUCGAAAAAUCGAGAUGAUCCUCUUGAAAUAAACGCUGCCGUAUCGCUUCACACUGUAUACCGCAUACAAAUUGAUCCCUCAGGCUUUCUUCCAACCACGUCCCGAACUCACAGGUUUUAGACAGUUUUUUUAACACAGCUACAUAUUCCGCUAACGAUUCACCGCUCACUUGCUUCCUAUGUCGAAACUUAAAACGUUCUGCUAAAACACUCGGCUUGGGUUGCAAGUGUUUUUCUAGAAUUUUAGUCAACUGUUCGAAAGUUUUAGAUGACGGUUUGUCUGGGGUACACAAAUCUACCAAUAAUUCGUAGCACUCUAAUCCGACUACGAAACCCUGUUCUUAGAUAGGAAUAGAAGUU